RNAcentral lists this ribosomal RNA (465 nucleotides) under uncultured bacterium. Its description in RNAcentral is "partial 16S ribosomal RNA". It matches the Rfam family "Bacterial small subunit ribosomal RNA", at positions 28 to 507 of the family's 1533-position model. The record is from RNAcentral.
GAUGAACGCUGGCGGCGUGCUUAACACAUGCAAGUCGAACGGAAAGGCCCAAGCUUGCUUGGGUACUCGAGUGGCGAACGGGUGAGUAACACGUGGGUGAUCUGCCCUGCACUUCGGGAUAAGCCUGGGAAACUGGGUCUAAUACCGGAUAGGACCACAUUUUGGAUGGUGUGGUGGAAAGUUUUUCGGUGUGGGAUGAGCUCGCGGCCUAUCAGCUUGUUGGUGGGGUAAUGGCCUACCAAGGCGUCGACGGGUAGCCGGCCUGAGAGGGUGUACGGCCUCAUUGGGACUGAGAUACGGCGCAGACGCCUACGGGAGGCAGCAGUGGGGAAUUUUGCACAAUGGGCGCAAGCCUGAUGCAGCGACGCCGCGUGGGGGAUGACGGCCUUCGGGUUGUAAACUCCUUUCGCUAGGGACGAAGCGCAAGUGACGGUACCUGGAGAAGAAGCACCGGCUAACUACGUG